AAUUAAUUGGUUUGGGCAGAUUUGGUGUUCUGUCCAAACUUGCCUGAAGUUCCAGCUCAGAUCUUGUGAUAAGAAACUAGUAAAGAUGGUUGACAUCACUGCUAAAGCUUGUAAAGUAUGUUGUUUUAUCAGCUGAAGAAAGGAAUGCAUUAACAGAAAAAGUCUGCUGACUAGACAGAACCACGCAGCACUCUGUAACAGAUGGUCAGAAGACAGCGAUGCAGAGGAUGCAUCCAGGCUCCAGAGCAGGUUUUUUUGGAACGGAUUUCACAGGAUCUCCUCUGAACAUGCACAGACAUGUUCGGAAAGACCAGAAGGGAAACCCCCACGCAUGCAGCGGAAGCACUUUGCAUCCUGAAUCACAGGAUCUCUCUUUCUUUGAGGAACAGUUUGACCUUUUGACCCCCCCCCCCACAAACCCACAUGGCCACACCCACUUCACCUCCUCACAUCCUGGACAGCUGUCAGCGAGGACCUGGCCCAAAGAAAAGAGACCCAUCUGUCGUCUUCC
Oryzias melastigma (Indian medaka) is the source of this 511-nucleotide long non-coding RNA. RefSeq lists it as uncharacterized. The record is from RefSeq and is a predicted model, not a curated record. The transcript has 4 exons. Lineage: Eukaryota; Metazoa; Chordata; Actinopteri; Beloniformes; Adrianichthyidae.